RNAcentral lists this transfer RNA (73 nucleotides) under Phrynosoma platyrhinos (Desert horned lizard). RNAcentral describes it as "tRNA-OTHER". The record is from RNAcentral. Lineage: Eukaryota; Metazoa; Chordata; Lepidosauria; Squamata; Phrynosomatidae.
GCCAGUGUGGUAUAGUGGUUUGAGCAUUAAGACUACAACUCUGGAGACCAGGGUUCGAAUCCCCAUUCAGCCA